Molecule: non-coding RNA, 380 nt
Organism: Heterocephalus glaber (naked mole-rat)
Lineage: Eukaryota; Metazoa; Chordata; Mammalia; Rodentia; Bathyergidae
Source: RefSeq, a predicted model, not a curated record
CUAGAGACUGGAAGCACAGGGAGCAGAGCUCUUCCACUGGUGGACAGUUUGCUGAGUAUGCCUGGUACACUGAAGGCCUUCUCUUCGCCUCUGGUGGGGUAGGUGCAGCUCUACUGGCAGCCUCGGAUUUUGAUAGCAAGGAAUGACUUCUGAGGCAGAAGGAAAAUCUACUCAAGUGCAAUCCUGGAGAUGAAGGAAGGAUUGAAGAACAAUAGAAAAGGUGCAGCUGCUAGAAAAUUUUAAAUUAUAAACUGGAUAUGGUGGCUCACAUAAAAUCCCAAAAUUCUGGGAGGCUGAGUCAGGAGGAUCAAAAGUUUGAGCCCAGACUUGGCAACUUAAGCUGGGGAGACCCUUUCUCAAACAUAAAUAAAAGAACUGGG